RNAcentral lists this ribosomal RNA (253 nucleotides) under uncultured bacterium. RNAcentral's name for it is "partial 16S ribosomal RNA". It matches the Rfam family "Bacterial small subunit ribosomal RNA", at positions 524 to 776 of the family's 1533-position model. The record is from RNAcentral.
UACAGAGGUCUCAACCGUUGUUCGGAUUCAUUGGGCGUAAAGGGUGCGUAGGCGGUCGGGUAAGUCGGAUGUGAAAUCUCAGGGCUCAACCCUGAAACUGCAUUCGAUACUGCUUGGCUAGGGUACUGGAGAGGAGACUGGAAUUUACGGUGUAGCAGUGAAAUGCGUAGAUAUCGUAAGGAAGACCAGUGGCGAAGGCGAGUCUCUGGACAGUUACCGACGCUGAGGCACGAAGGUCAGGGGAGCAAACGGG